Molecule: long non-coding RNA, 92 nt
Organism: Sphaeramia orbicularis (orbiculate cardinalfish)
Lineage: Eukaryota; Metazoa; Chordata; Actinopteri; Kurtiformes; Apogonidae
Exons: 3
Source: RefSeq, a predicted model, not a curated record
CCCAGAAGAAGGUGCAUAUUUUUUUGAUAACGGGAGUCUAUGGAAGUGUCACAACUCUGAUAUAUAUCAAGGACUCUGACAUGAACUAGCUA